This is a long non-coding RNA of Momordica charantia (bitter melon), 502 nucleotides long. RefSeq lists it as uncharacterized. NCBI's taxonomy places the organism in Eukaryota, Viridiplantae, Streptophyta, Magnoliopsida, Cucurbitales, Cucurbitaceae. The record is from RefSeq and is a predicted model, not a curated record.
GUGACCUUCAUAACUUCCCUUCAAGCAGAUAAUAGAUUCAUAUUUCAUAUUCGAUUCGAUUGUAAAGGUGUUUUCAAGUUUCUCUGCUAGUAAACAUGUGUCCAAGCCUCAGUCCAGACAAGUCAAGGCAGAGGAAGGCUAUGGGACCGGUGAAAGUCCAGUUUGGCACUGACCUGGAUGCACGUGUGCCACCAGUGUAAAAUAUGCUGACAGGUAAAAAGCAUCGGAAACGGCAGGACAACACUUUCCAAUGUUCCCUAUAAAAAGUAGGACCUAUUACUGGCGAAGAUAGGACGGGAAAAAUACGAUCCUCCACGUGGAAGUAGAACGAUGCAAGAGAUUUUGGACCUCAACAUAACCUCAAAAACGGCCGAGGUGUCAUAAUUGAAUGGAUAAUAACCUUUGUCAACUAUUCAUUCUACUACAAUGAUAGAAAAUACGCUAAAAUUGUCGUACUAAUGAUAACUUUUAAGUGGACCCCACAAAAUCGACUUUAUAUUAU